This 3026-nucleotide long non-coding RNA is filed under the name Nicotiana benthamiana. RNAcentral's name for it is "long non-coding RNA (NBEN_LNC025592)". The record is from RNAcentral. Lineage: Eukaryota; Viridiplantae; Streptophyta; Magnoliopsida; Solanales; Solanaceae.
GCAAAAUAGCAUAUACAUGAACACUUUAUAUUGCUUUCAAUAUUAUUAAUAAUACCAACCCUAUUAACAUUAAAAAAAAUAUUGCUUACAUAAAUGAAUACUACUACUACACUAAUAAAAAUGUAAUAGUGGAAAGGACUAUAUUAUUACAAGUAAUGUGGAUGAAACCACCCUUAGGGUAGUACAAAGCAAAUAUUGAUGGUGCCUUCGACAUAAAAAACAUGGAAGGUGGUAUUGGAACUGCAAUACGUGGCUCGAAAGGACACUGUUGUGUAGGAUCAUCGAUGAAAAUUCUUGCAACAUCACCAUUACAAACAGAACUUAUGGCUCAACGCCACAGUCUUCAAUUAAUAAUCAAGGAAGACCUCUUCCCCGUGGAAUUGGAAACUGAUGCAACGGAUAUAUUAAACAUAAUAUACAAUAACACCCUUACUAACGACAAACUUCCCUUUGAAUGCAGAUCAUUAGUGGAGGCAACCAAGCAUGGCAGGAUAUCAUUCAUGCAUAACUUCAUACAAGGAAAUAGCGUGGCUCACACUUUGGCAAAUAAAGCUCUAAGAAAUAAGACCUUUGAUAAACUAUGUUUUUUGCUAAGCCUCAUAAUUUUUUAGUCGAUCUCUAUUAAAGAGAUAUGGAGGACUUUGUUUAUGUAAGAUCGUGUAGUACAAAACAAUGCGAAACUCUAGCUGCUGUAGGAAAUAUUAGUGCCAUAGAUGGCCUAAUGGUUGGCAAAAGUAAUGCACGUAUAAACAAUAUCUAUAGGGAGGAGACAACCCUCCAUACUUAGCCUUAUAUAUAUAAUAUAUACUUUUCUUUCAAAAAAAAAGAAAAAAAAAGAACACUUUAUAUUGCUUCGUUAAACUUUCAGAUCUUAAUGAAACAAUAUGCAGAAUAAUGAAGCUAGAGUGAAUACUAUCUCAGCUUCUUCUUUAAUCUGAAACAUCAUUUGAAACUUUAUUUGAACUAGAUAAUUGAUUUAAUUCUAAUAGGGAUGCAUCUGAGCCUCUCAUUAGGUUGCUGCAAUUUUAGCCAUGAUUAAAAGAAACAGUCAUAUUCAUACCAGCCCCAUAGGCUUAAAUUUGAACCCAAAUUAAACAUGCGAACUGUCACAGAGAAGAGACAUUUAUCAAGUACAUAAAUGACUACAUACUAUCAGAACAUUUAUUAAGACAUAUAGAUGGUCAAUUACAGAAAAGUACAUUUAAUAUAGCAUUUAAAUAACUAUUACAUUACUGAGAGUAAAAUCAGUACCUGGACAAAGACAAAUGAUCCUUAGAAUAUCUAGAAAAGGAUUUGAGAUUCAGUAGGAGCACAACCAGCAAAUAUCCAUAGCUAGAUCCACUCCAAUAAACCAUAAAGAUGCAAGAGGAUUUAUUUUGAAAUAAUGAAAAACUACCCCAAAUUACUGAUUCAUUUGAAAAAAUGUAUAGAAAAGAAACCAAUUUAAGCUUUACUGCUCCCUGCUGUUUCUCUUUUAUUUUUUGCAGAUUUUUAGUAGCUAUGAAAAGUCAGAUUUAUGACAAAAAUCUAGCAGCCAUCUUUUUCUUUUUCCUCUUUUUUUUAUACAGACUCGAAAAAGGAUCUUUUAUAGAGGAUAUUUAGGACAACAAAGCCCUUUUUCCUCAUUCAAAUACACCCCUUAAACCUUUAACUUAAUUUACUUACAUCCUUUCCCAUAGAAUUUUCCUCUCUCUUUUCUAAGCUGGUCCUUGUCAGCCCUUAUCUAGAAGCUUCUAUUUGUUAGGAUAAAAUUUCCUCAAACCCUAUCCAAAUUGAAAACCUCAGUAACCUUGUUUAUACCCUUUUUUACAAUUGUGACAUUUAUCCUAGGUGGUACUAGACUUCUGGGUCACUUAAACCACAAGCCCAAUAUUUACUUGGGCCUUUGCACUAUCAGACCCAAAUUCAAACCUAACCCAUAAACCAAAACAACUCAAUCAUGAACAAAAAAAAACCAAAAAAGGAGUAAAUUUAGGCAUGAAAUUGUCACCACAGUAGGGGUUAUGAAAAUAGGAUGAGAGGUUUACCAAUUGAAUCGACCAACGCUUCGAUAUCCCUGAGAAAAUAGUGACAAAUUGAUUCAAACACCCGUUAGCACACAAAUUGAGGUCACUAUAAAUGAGGUUUUCAAGGCCUCGGAAGCGUAGAGUAGGUAAGAAAACAGGUGAUGACCCUUUGGGCCGUCACAUUCUCCACCUUUAAAAUAAUGAUUUGUCCUCAAACGGACAAAAGAAGGAAGUACCUGAGUCGGGAAAUAGAUGAUGAUAAAGGAAAACUCUGCGACCUCGACUGUCGAACCUGCCGGUCUAUAAUGGCCACCGGCUCCUCCUCAUAAGACAGAUCCUUGUCCACAUGGUCAGUUCUAAAAUCUAAUACGUAGGAUGGAUUGCCGUGAUACUUCCGAAUCUCGGCCAAUAGUGAGAUUUGUAACAAGAAUACUAGUGGACUUUCUUCCACAACUAGUACUUCAUGUCACAAUCCUCAACACAUGCUAAGAAAGACACGAGACACAGGUUCAAGGAAAUUAAGACAUUCAAACAUUUAAAAGCCUAGAAUACGACAAAAAUAGAAGAUGGUUUAGGUUUAUAAGUGAUUGAUUCUUUAGGUUGAAAGUAGGGGAUUCAAUGGGUUUCAUCAUAAAUUGAGGACCAAAUAAGGAAAAAUUGAAUAAAAAGCAUAAAGUUCGAAUUUUUAUCCUUAGUCACUAACUCAGAGAAAAUGAUUGGUUUUUUUAGAGAAAUCAAUGUCAGAAUAUGAACGAGGGGGCGAUGGAGAUUGUGUGGUUGAAGUUUGAGGGAAUUUGAAGGUGGUCCACCGUUGUAAGGCAGUUUUCGGGCAGCAGAAGAACGGUGGAAGGGAGCAGCGAUAUUGACAGAGAUUGGGAUUUUAGGUCUAAGUUUAAUUGGGGUGAAUUGUGAGGCCACGGAUAAGGUUUAGUCGUUUAAUAAGGUAGAGGAGUUGAAAUGACGUAGUUUUAAAGUGUAAAUUGGACUGGGUUUUGAAAAAAAAAAUAAGCUGGACAUGGG